AUGAAUUGAAUGAUUGUUUAGUUCAAAUGUAAAUGAAUUGAAUGUUUCAUUUUCUUCUUAAGAUAUGAAUUUUUGCAUGGUCAACAAGGAUAUAUAUGUGUAUCAAAUUGUUGCUGCAUAUAUAUGAAUUUCUGCUAGCCAUCCUAGCUCGGAAAAUAUUAGUGUACAUCCAAUUGUUCCCACUUGACUUCCUUAUAUGCUUAGAGCUUAUCUUUCUCAUAACUUAGAGAAAAGGCCCAUUUGGUUUUAGGGGAUAGUGAUUGAGGGUUUUUGUUAUAUAUCUGUUGUGUUCAAUUUUGUUGUUAGUUUAGAAGCAGUUAUUCUCCCACGUUUAAUCUUCCCACGUUUUCCAAGAUCAAAAUACUGAACUCCCUAUUCUAGAGUCUAGACCGUGCAGAAACCAGUUAUUGGUAAGCAGAAGACGAUCUCCUCAAGGAGAAGUUCGCCAACAGAAAAAGGUAUGGUUUACUUCUAUCAAAUUGUUGACUUUGAUGAGGGUUUCAACUUUUCUUUUCCUUCUUCGUGUAGUUCUCGAAGAUAGGGGGUCUUGGUAAAUAAAAAACAUAUUGCAGAGGGAGAAGAGAUGGAAGACUAAAUCGGUUAGGUACCUAAUCAUGUUAUCUCUACGUUUGAUGUUAAAGGGAAGCAGAUGGGCAUGCUUAGUAUGAAGGAGAAGAAUUCGUUUUUAACACAUAAGGACAACUGAGAUCAUAUUCUUCACUUACGAAUAAUCAGUGGAAGCUUUCAGUUUUGGGGUUUUGGAUAUAUUUUGGUUCUAGGUCUGGAGAUAGUAAUAUAAUGUUUUCGUUUCAUAUUUUUCCUUCCGUUGAUUUACAAUUUGUAAUGGUGCAUGAGAUUUUGGUUAUAGCAAGCGGCUUGCGAUUUCAUCCCUCCUUAUGAACUCUCCUUUUUUUGUUUUUUUCCUUUUUUUUUCCGGUCGCCAAGUGGGAACAAGACAUAUUAUGAUUUCAGGAAACCAGACUUUCAGUACACCAAUUUCUCAACUAGAAAGGCUUACCAUGAUCUAGCAAUUUCCACCAUGUACGUCAUUACUUGAACUUUAAAUUUUCAUGCGGACAUUCUAUAUGGUUUUUCAUCUGAUGAUCAUUAGUAUGGUUGUUGAUUGUACUACCUCACAUUUGAGGUUUUCCACCUAUUGUUCAGGUAACAAUAGGUAAACCCGUUGAGUUGUCAGGUUAGUCAAUAUUUCUCUUUUUGUUAUUCAAAUCUCUACAUUUGGAUACUACUGUCCUAUUUGCUUACUUUCUUGGUUCAGAUUUCAUUGUGUUUCCAAUGAUAAUUAUUGGCAAGAUUCUAUUAGUUUUCAUGUCAUGUUUCACUGAGUUGGAUGUGCGAGUAGUUUAGAAUUAAUGGUUUUUAUUACUUGCGGUAUUAAUAAUGUGCAACAAAGUAUCUUAGAGCAUUAUAUAUGGUUAAUGACUUUAGCUUAUGAUAUGAUAGCACUGACCCAUUUUAUAUGUACUGUUAAACAUGCUGUAUUUGUUUUCUUUUUCAUACCUCCUGUGAGAUAUUAUAGUAAUUUGCAACAUGUUGGAUUGGCUAUAAGACGAGACAUUGAGGAAUGCAGUUGCAAAGUUUAAGGGGAAGAAAUGAAGACAAUAGGUUUUUGUUUAUUCAAUCAUGCUUAAGUGGAGAUUGUAGUUACUAACUUCAGUAGGUAUUGAGCUUUUAGGUGGCAAUUAGACAUGUUUGACAAAUGUACUCUUUUAUUUUUUGUUUUUAGGUUAGUAUUUUCUCUCGUACUAUUCUAAUGUCAUGGAUGAUGUUUUUUUAUCUAUGUAUUAAGACUAUGUAGUUUGCAUUCAAUCAAUUAUUCAA
This is a long non-coding RNA of Rosa rugosa (rugosa rose), 1839 nucleotides long. RefSeq lists it as uncharacterized. The record is from RefSeq and is a predicted model, not a curated record. NCBI's taxonomy places the organism in Eukaryota, Viridiplantae, Streptophyta, Magnoliopsida, Rosales, Rosaceae. The transcript is spliced from 4 exons.